GGUUAUAACCCAGUAUCUCAAGGUACUAAGGGCGUCCGACCUACCACUUGCGGUUGCGUCGAAAACUUCAAUUUUUGGACAGUCUUCCCGGGGUAUCCGAGAAGGCAAC
Molecule: non-coding RNA, 109 nt
Organism: Ancylostoma duodenale
Lineage: Eukaryota; Metazoa; Nematoda; Chromadorea; Rhabditida; Ancylostomatidae
Source: Rfam